GAUCGACAAAAUGUAUGCAAUCAUCCAUAUUUCAGCCAGCUUCAUGUAGAGGAGGUUGAUAACUUAAUACCAAAGCACUAUCUACCAUCAAUUAUAAGGCUUUCUGGGAAGCUUGAGAUGUUAGAUCGAUUAUUUCCCAAGCUAAAAGCAACAAACAUACGGUAAUCCUUGAUACUCAAUCUAUUCACAUGUGUUGAUGCGUGUCUGCAUGUGUGCUUCUGUUUUCUACU
This is a long non-coding RNA of Rosa chinensis, 230 nucleotides long. RefSeq lists it as uncharacterized. NCBI's taxonomy places the organism in Eukaryota, Viridiplantae, Streptophyta, Magnoliopsida, Rosales, Rosaceae. The record is from RefSeq and is a predicted model, not a curated record. The transcript has 3 exons.